RNAcentral lists this ribosomal RNA (490 nucleotides) under uncultured bacterium. Its description in RNAcentral is "partial 16S ribosomal RNA". It matches the Rfam family "Bacterial small subunit ribosomal RNA", at positions 30 to 507 of the family's 1533-position model. The record is from RNAcentral.
AUUGAACGCUGGCGGCAGGCCUAACACAUGCAAGUCGAACGGUAACAGGAAGAAGCUUGCUUCUUUGCUGACGAGUGGCGGACGGGUGAGUAAUGUCUGGGAAACUGCCUGAUGGAGGGGGAUAACUACUGGAAACGGUAGCUAAUACCGCAUAACGUCGCAAGACCAAAAAGGGGGACCUUCGGGCCUCUUGCCAUCGGAUGUGCCCAGAUGGGAUUAGCUAGUAGGUGGGGUAACGGCUCACCUAGGCGACGAUCCCUAGCUGGUCUGAGAGGAUGACCAGCCACACUGGAACUGAGACACGGUCCAGACUCCUACGGGAGGCAGCAGUGUGGAAUAUUGCACAAUGGGCGCAAGCCUGAUGCAGCCAUGCCGCGUGUAUGAAGAAGGCCUUCGGGUUGUAAAGUACUUUCAGCGGGGAGGAAGGGAGUAAAGUUAAUACCUUUGCUCAUUGACGUUACCCGCAGAAGAAGCACCGGCUAACUCCGUG